RNAcentral lists this ribosomal RNA (752 nucleotides) under Salmonella enterica subsp. enterica serovar London. RNAcentral describes it as "bacterial SSU rRNA". It matches the Rfam family "Bacterial small subunit ribosomal RNA", at positions 296 to 1049 of the family's 1533-position model. The record is from RNAcentral. Lineage: Bacteria; Pseudomonadati; Pseudomonadota; Gammaproteobacteria; Enterobacterales; Enterobacteriaceae.
GAGGAAGGUCCCCCACAUUGGAACUGAGACACGUUCCAAACUCCUACGGGAGGCAGCAGUGAGGAAUAUUGGUCAAUGGGCGCAGGCCUGAACCAGCCAAGUAGCGUGAAGGAUGACUGCCCUAUGGGUUGUAAACUUCUUUUAUAAAGGAAUAAAGUCGGGUAUGUAUACCCGUUUGCAUGUACUUUAUGAAUAAGGAUCGGCUAACUCCGUGCCAGCAGCCGCGGUAAUACGGAGGAUCCGAGCGUUAUCCGGAUUUAUUGGGUUUAAAGGGAGCGUAGAUGGAUGUUUAAGUCAGUUGUGAAAGUUUGCGGCUCAACCGUAAAAUUGCAGUUGAUACUGGAUAUCUUGAGUGCAGUUGAGGCAGGCGGAAUUCGUGGUGUAGCGGUGAAAUGCUUAGAUAUCACGAAGAACUCCGAUUGCGAAGGCAGCCUGCUAAGCUGCAACUGACAUUGAGGCUCGAAAGUGUGGGUAUCAAACAGGAUUAGAUACCCUGGUAGUCCACACGGUAAACGAUGAAUACUCGCUGUUUGCGAUAUACAGCAAGCGGCCAAGCGAAAGCGUUAAGUAUUCCACCUGGGGAGUACGCCGGCAACGGUGAAACUCAAAGGAAUUGACGGGGGCCCGCACAAGCGGAGGAACAUGUGGUUUAAUUCGAUGAUACGCGAGGAACCUUACCCGGGCUUGAAUUGCAGAGGAAGGAUUUGGAGACAAUGACGCCCUUCGGGGUCUCUGUGAAGGUGCUGCAUGGU